GUGCCAGCCGCCGCGGUAAUACGGAGGGGGCUAGCGUUGUUCGGAAUUACUGGGCGUAAAGCGCGCGUAGGCGGCUUUGUAAGUCAGAGGUGAAAGCCUGGAGCUCAACUCCAGAACUGCCUUUGAAACUACAUCGCUAGAAUCAUGGAGAGGUUAGUGGAAUUCCGAGUGUAGAGGUGAAAUUCGUAGAUAUUCGGAAGAACACCAGUGGCGAAGGCGACUAACUGGACAUGUAUUGACGCUGAGGUGCGAAAGCGUGGGGAGCAAACAGGAUUAGAAACCCUCGUAGUCC
This 292-nucleotide ribosomal RNA is filed under the name uncultured bacterium. RNAcentral describes it as "partial 16S ribosomal RNA". It matches the Rfam family "Bacterial small subunit ribosomal RNA", at positions 505 to 796 of the family's 1533-position model. The record is from RNAcentral.